UACGUAGGGUGCGAGCGUUGUCCGGAAUUAUUGGGCGUAAAGAGCUCGUAGGCGGUGUGUCACGUCGUUCGUGAAAACCUGCAGCUUAACUGUGGGCGUGCGGUCGAUACGGGCAUCACUGGAGUUCGGCAGGGGAGACUGGAAUUCCUGGUGUAGCGGUGAAAUGCGCAGAUAUCAGGAGGAACACCGGUGGCGAAGGCGGUUCUCUAGUACGGUACUGACGCUGAGACGCGAAAGCGUGGGGAGCGAACAGG
RNAcentral lists this ribosomal RNA (254 nucleotides) under uncultured bacterium. Its description in RNAcentral is "partial 16S ribosomal RNA". It matches the Rfam family "Bacterial small subunit ribosomal RNA", at positions 524 to 776 of the family's 1533-position model. The record is from RNAcentral.